GACGAACGCUGGCGGCGUGCUUAACACAUGCAAGUCGAACGGAAAGGCCCUGCUUUUGUGGGGUGCUCGAGUGGCGAACGGGUGAGUAACACGUGAGUAACCUGCCCUUGACUUUGGGAUAACUUCAGGAAACUGGGGCUAAUACCGGAUAGGAGCUCCUGCUGCAUGGUGGGGGUUGGAAAGUUUCGGCGGUUGGGGAUGGACUCGCGGCUUAUCAGCUUGUUGGUGGGGUAGUGGCUUACCAAGGCUUUGACGGGUAGCCCGCCUGAGAGGGUGACCGGCCACAUGGGGACUGAGAUACGGACCAGACUCCUACGGGAGGCAGCAGUGGGGAAUAUUGCACAAUGGGCGGAAGCCUGAUGCAGCAACGCCGCGUGCGGGAUGACGGCCUUCGGGUUGUAAACCGCUUUCGCAUGUGACGAAGAGUGAGUGACGGUAAUGGGUAAAGAAGCACCGGCUAACUACGUG
This 468-nucleotide ribosomal RNA is filed under the name uncultured bacterium. Its description in RNAcentral is "partial 16S ribosomal RNA". It matches the Rfam family "Bacterial small subunit ribosomal RNA", at positions 28 to 507 of the family's 1533-position model. The record is from RNAcentral.